This 45-nucleotide non-coding RNA is filed under the name Schistosoma curassoni. The record is from RNAcentral. Lineage: Eukaryota; Metazoa; Platyhelminthes; Trematoda; Strigeidida; Schistosomatidae.
AUCCGGCUGACAAGUCCCAAACAGGACGAAACGCGCGUUCUGGAU